UGAAAAGAUCAAUUAGCAUAGAGGUUGCUUGGCCUGCUAUCUCUAACCCAUGUCUUUUGAGUACUUACGUUUUCCUCGGCGGGUCCGCCCCCCGAUUGGACAAAAUCAAACCCUUUGCAGUUGCAAUCAGCGUCUGAAAAACAUAAUAGUUACAACUUUCAACAACGGAUCUCUUGGGUUCUGGCAUCGAUGAAGAACGCAGCGAAAUGCGAUAAGUAGUGUGAAUUGCAGAAUUCAGUGAAUCAUCGGAAUCUUUGAACGCACAUUGCGCCCCUUGGUAUUCCAUGGGGCAUGCCUGUUCGAGCGUCAUUUGUACCUUCAAGCUUUGCUUGGUGUUGGGUGUUUGUCUCGCCUCUGCGUGUAGACUCGCCUUAAAACAAUUGGCAGCCGGCGUAUUGAUUUCGGAGCGCAGUACAUCUCGCGCUUUGCACUCAUAACGACGACGUCCAAAAGUACAUUUUU
Molecule: ribosomal RNA, 462 nt
Filed under: Ascochyta rabiei
Lineage: Eukaryota; Fungi; Ascomycota; Dothideomycetes; Pleosporales; Didymellaceae
Description: partial 5.8S ribosomal RNA
Rfam family: 5.8S ribosomal RNA (bases 154-309)
Source: RNAcentral